This 1198-nucleotide long non-coding RNA is filed under the name Homo sapiens (human). Its description in RNAcentral is "HSALNT0054325". Lineage: Eukaryota; Metazoa; Chordata; Mammalia; Primates; Hominidae. The record is from RNAcentral.
AAUUAGUCUCGGGUACUCAGGAGGCUGAGGCAGGAGAAUUGCUUGAACCCGGGAGACAGGUUGGAGUGAGCUGAAAUUGCACCACUGCAUUCCAGCCUGGGCAAUAGAGCGAGACUCCCUGUCAAAAAAAAAAAAAGAAAGAAAUGACUUCUAGUUGAGAGAGGAGGCAUACAGCUUAAAGUCUGAGGAGAAAUGUUCUCCAGCCAGGAUCAGGCAUACUGGGAGUUCAGAAGUUCCCUUUACUGAAGCUGAGUAAUUUCAGGGGAAACCAAAAAAAGUUCCCUUCACUCGUAGUCCAAGGCAUAAACUGAGAUGGUGGGGGUGGCAUGGGGCAAGGAGGGGUCAAUCACCAGGCAUCCUGGAGAGAAGUUGGAGUUUAUUGGAAAGUUCUGGGUUCCUAUCCUGUAGCCUAACCAGAGAGUGUGGCCUAGGCCACAUUGACCCUGUACAGGAAAGGGGAGAGUUGAAGUGGGAUGUCUCUUCUCACAGGUCCAGCUGGUAGAACACUGAGUAGGACCCUAGGUCCCUAGACUUUCCACUUUGGUGUCUCUGGAGGUGGGUUGUGGAACAUAUAUUUUCACAAGUACCUGGGUGACUCCUGGGCACUGUAUAUUCAUCUCCUAGAAUAGGACCUGGUACCUCCUAGACACAUGGCUUUCUAGCUUUGGUUCCAGCUGCCCCGAGACUGCAGGCAGUCCAGAAGCAUGGGUUCCAGCUAACUAUUCUUUAGGAACUGUCCCUUCCCUUGGCUCCUUGCUCCAACCUUGUUCCUCCCCAGCUAUUUCUCUCUGCCAUCUCAUCUGGAAGGAUUGUGAAUCUAUAGGCCUCAGGCCCAGGUCCCCUAAUCUUUUUCUUGCCACUUUCCCCACGUGACCUCAUCCUCUCCAGUGGCUACUGCUCCCGUGGCUAGACCAUUGCCUUUCAACAUUCUCUUCUUCUGCGCCUCUUGUAACUGCCUGCCCCAGAUACCUCUGUCUGGAUGUCUAAUGCAGUAUAGCUGAAUCUGAACACAUCCACCUACCCCCAAAACCUGCUCCUCCUGUUGCUGACUUAGUCAAGAAUGCCACCUUCCCAUCUCAGGAUCUCACACACUAUACUCCCUGCCUGCUCACCCGCCAUCAGCUUAUUCUUUAACCAACUGCUUCUUGACUUCUUUUCAGUCUCAAUUUUUUUUUUUUCUCUGAGAGGGAGUCUCGCU